GGGGGUCCUUGUGUCUACAUACCUAGUGCUCUCUGACAUUCCUCUCCGUGUAGGUGCUGGGAACACAUGACCUGGUGGGCGUUGCUGGCUUGCUCCAGAGACUUGAGACUGGAAGCUUCUCAAGGACAAGGACCAAGACCUUCUGCCCUGAAUCAUGAUUGUUGCAAACCAAGCCUGCGCUGGCUGGUGCUGAGCAAAGACUCACAGCCCGGAAGACAAAGGCAGGGACCCACAGCACCGAGCUUAUGCCCGUGGCCAACUGAAUCCCUGUGGACCGGCCCCGCCUGUCUGCCUUCCUCACAUCCCUCCACC
This 312-nucleotide long non-coding RNA is filed under the name Pan troglodytes (chimpanzee). RNAcentral describes it as "long non-coding RNA NONPTRT004370". The record is from RNAcentral. Lineage: Eukaryota; Metazoa; Chordata; Mammalia; Primates; Hominidae.